Molecule: ribosomal RNA, 22 nt
Filed under: Pezicula eucrita
Lineage: Eukaryota; Fungi; Ascomycota; Leotiomycetes; Helotiales; Dermateaceae
Description: partial 18S ribosomal RNA
Source: RNAcentral
UAGGUGAACCUGCGGAGGGAUC